GGUUGUUUAAGUUUCUCACAUUUGUCUUAAUUCUUGAACUCUUCAAACCUGCAGACCAAGCACAAAGGAAAUAAUUUUCAUUUUUAGCUCAGGGACAAGCUGUGCAGGUGAAGAGAAUUCGUCCAGAAGACACAAACCUGGAAUGAUGGGUCUCAAUGUGACAUAGGACAAUCCAGCCCUUGGUGAGUCACACCCUGGAUGUCCCCACCUGGUGCCAUUGGGUCCAGGCAGUGUGAAGGUGAUCUGCAUGUGCUCCUGUGAUGGGAUUCACCUCCCAGAAAGUGUAAUAAAGUACUGAAGAUUCAGUGAGUCAAAAGAUAAAGCUCAGCCUGCUGUGAGUCACUCUGAUAUUUGCACCUUGCUGCUCCUUCUCAUUGGUCUACAAAGGAGUGAGGAUGAGAGGUUCCAUAACAAACACUCAUCUCCCUCCUGAGCUAAUGGGGUCAGACAGGUCUGCCUGCAAGAUACAGAUUUCCUUAAGGGCAUCGUAAAGAGAAGAGUCAUGAGAAGAUGGACCUUUCAAUAUGACUCCAAAGUUCGUUAGAUUAUAGCACUUGCUCUACACCUGUGCACAAGGCAAUGCCUCACAUCCAGCAUGAAACACAGGAUUCAUUCCCUUACCCCUCCAAAAUGGUUGAGGCUCUUUAUAUGUGCUCCAACUGCUAGUUUUCUGUUUGUAGAGAUAUAAAUUAUUCCCAAAGAACAUUUAUUUUUACUAUUA
This is a non-coding RNA of Meleagris gallopavo (turkey), 721 nucleotides long. The record is from RefSeq and is a predicted model, not a curated record. Lineage: Eukaryota; Metazoa; Chordata; Aves; Galliformes; Phasianidae.